This 519-nucleotide ribosomal RNA is filed under the name uncultured eukaryote. RNAcentral's name for it is "bacterial SSU rRNA". It matches the Rfam family "Eukaryotic small subunit ribosomal RNA", at positions 1160 to 1700 of the family's 1831-position model. The record is from RNAcentral.
AAGGGCACCCCCGGGAGUGGAGCCUGCGGCUUAAUUUGACUCAACACGGGGAAAUCUUGGCGGCCUGGGUUUUGGGAGGGAUGAUGUAUUGAGAGCUCUUUUCUGACAAGUGGGUGGUGGGACAUGGAAAGUGUUAGCCUGUGGGUGCCUUUGAUGGUUAAUUCCGAUAACGAACGAGACUCUAGCCUAUUAAAUAGGCUCCCGGCUUUUGAACGCCUGGAGGACUUCUUAGAGGGACAGGUGGCGGUUCAGCCGCACGAAAGAGAGCAAUAACAGGUCUGUGAUGCCCUUUGUUGUCCGGGGCCGCACGCGCGCUACACUGAAGAGAUCAGCGUGCUUUAUGUUCCUGCUCCGACCGGAGUGGGGAACCCAGUGAACCUUCUUCGUGAUUGGGAUAGAAGAUUGUAAUUAUUCUUCUUGAACGAGGAAUUCCCAGUAAAUGCGGGUCAUAAGCUCGCGUUGAUUACGUCCCUGCCCUUUGUACACACCGCCCGUCGCUACUACCGAUUGAACGAUUUA